UACGUAGGUGGCAAGCGUUGUCCGGAAUUAUUGGGCGUAAAGCGCGCGCAGGCGGUCCUUUAAGUCUGAGGUGAAAGCCCACGGCUCAACCGUGGAAGGUCAUUGGAAACUGGGGGACUUGAGUACAGAAGAGGAAAGCGGAAUUCCACGUGUAGCGGUGAAAUGCGUAGAGAUGUGGAGGAACACCAGUGGCGAAGGCGGCUUUCUGGUCUGUAACUGACGCUGAGGCGCGAAAGCGUGGGGAGCAAACAGG
This 253-nucleotide ribosomal RNA is filed under the name uncultured bacterium. RNAcentral describes it as "partial 16S ribosomal RNA". It matches the Rfam family "Bacterial small subunit ribosomal RNA", at positions 524 to 776 of the family's 1533-position model. The record is from RNAcentral.